This is a non-coding RNA of Potamilus streckersoni, 77 nucleotides long. The record is from the annotation of a GenBank genome assembly. NCBI's taxonomy places the organism in Eukaryota, Metazoa, Mollusca, Bivalvia, Unionida, Unionidae.
AACCACACCGGUGGCCUAGUGGUUAGAGCAUCCGCCUUGGAUGUGGAAGGCUGUGGGUUAUAUCCCCAGUUGAGUCA